This 442-nucleotide small RNA is filed under the name Drosophila mojavensis. RNAcentral's name for it is "GI25658". The record is from RNAcentral. Lineage: Eukaryota; Metazoa; Arthropoda; Insecta; Diptera; Drosophilidae.
CUUUGGUUAAGUAGUUAAUAUCUUUAGACCUUGAUUUUUUGUUUUUGUUGUAUUAUAAUGUAAAAGCUAAGGACACCAAAAAUUGGUCUAGCUCAAAGCUCAAGAUUUGAAACGGCUCCAGAUGAGUGGCAUAAAUUAUAAAAUCUCCAGAAAGCUAGACGAAGCAGCAGGCGAAGAAGGCAGUCAGGAAGAACCGCGAAAGAAGCGACAACAACAAAAGAGGGACCGGCCGUCCGUUUACGGUCAUUGAACUGGGUCGACUGAGGAGAGAGCAGAGUGCCAGAGAGGAGCCAGAUCUCCGCUUUCAAGACAUUGUAACAGUAAAAUAUAAAAGAAAACGCCUCGCACAAUGCGUUGCAACCUGUACCUGUUCGUGGCUCAGGGCCCGGCCCCAAAUCAAUGUCGAGCUUAGGACUCCGCCUGCAAAACGCUUUCAAAUCUU